Molecule: ribosomal RNA, 253 nt
Filed under: uncultured bacterium
Lineage: Bacteria
Description: partial 16S ribosomal RNA
Rfam family: Bacterial small subunit ribosomal RNA
Source: RNAcentral
UACGAAGGGGUCUAGCGUUGUUCGGAAUUACUGGGCGUAAAGCGCACGUAGGCGGAUCUUUAAGUCGGGGGUGAAAUCCCGGGGCUCAACCCCGGAACUGCCUUCGAUACUGGGUAUCUUGAGUUCGGAAGAGGUGAGUGGAAUUGCGAGUGUAGAGGUGAAAUUCGUAGAUAUUCGCAGGAACACCAGUGGCGAAGGCGGCUCACUGGUCCGAUACUGACGCUGAGGUGCGAAAGCGUGGGGAGCAAACAGG